Molecule: ribosomal RNA, 497 nt
Filed under: uncultured bacterium
Lineage: Bacteria
Description: partial 16S ribosomal RNA
Rfam family: Bacterial small subunit ribosomal RNA
Source: RNAcentral
GAUGAACGCUGGCGGCGUGCCUAAUACAUGCAAGUCGAGCGAACAGACGAGGAGCUUGCUCCUCUGACGUUAGCGGCGGACGGGUGAGUAACACGUGGAUAACCUACCUAUAAGACUGGGAUAACUUCGGGAAACCGGAGCUAAUACCGGAUAAUAUAUUGAACCGCAUGGUUCAAUAGUGAAAGACGGUUUUGCUGUCACUUAUAGAUGGAUCCGCGCCGCUUUAGCUAGUUGGUAAGGUAACGGGUUACCAAGGCAACGAUGCGUAGCCGACCUGAGAGGGUGAUCGGCCACACUGGAACUGAGACACGGUCCAGACUCCUACGGGAGGCAGCAGUAGGGAAUCUUCCGCAAUGGGCGAAAGCCUGACGGAGCAACGCCGCGUGAGUGAUGAAGGUCUUCGGAUCGUAAAACUCUGUUAUUAGGGAAGAACAAAUGUGUAAGUAACUAUGCACGUCUUGACGGUACCUAAUCAGAAAGCCACGGCUAACUACGUG